RNAcentral lists this long non-coding RNA (325 nucleotides) under Androctonus crassicauda. The record is from RNAcentral. Lineage: Eukaryota; Metazoa; Arthropoda; Arachnida; Scorpiones; Buthidae.
CGACACAAUCAAACACAAUCUUAUCAGACACAUCUUGUGUGUCAAGUUUUCUAAACUCAAGAUGUGUACAGAAACAGAAGGGUUUAUAAUAGCAAUACAGGACUGGGUAAUAAACAUGAAAAAUUACAGAAAAUACAUAAUGAGGUACAGCACUGACAAACGACACUUGUAUGAAAUGCUACAUAGCACCCAAAACGAUUCGACUCAUUACAUCAGGUUGCAAGCUGCUUGCACAAACAGAUUACCUAUACAGACACAAUCAAGAAGCAAACAUAAUACACCAAAAACUUGCAAUUAAACUUGAAAACAAAUUAAUAAACACACC